AAUUAUCAAAUCGAAACUCUGGAUUUACAAUGACCUUGUAAAUAUUUAAAUAUUAAUUAAAUUGUUGAGCCAGAAAUAUUAAAAUUGUAUUAUGGUUAAUUUCCAAUUUGACAACCUUUUUUGCCGUCAUUAAAUAUGUUACUGAACUUAACGCUGUGCAUCAUAGUGUUGCUUAUAUUAGUUAAGUGUGACUUACUAAAAUUUCGUGCAUGCGAUAACUGUCCAGUAAUUAAGCUGUUACCACCAAUUGACAUAGUUAAGGACAGAAAUGAAACCAUAGUCACAUUUCCGGACGAAAUUCCACUAGUUUUAGAAUUCGAUUGUUUUGCAACGUACCCAAUCAAUUGGAUAUUUCAUAUCAAUGAGGAUGACGACGAAACUUUAAUUGAUCGAACAAUUUAUACGUAUCGGCUCGGAUUCAAGGACGAAUUAUUCGACGAAUCUACCUACGUAUCAAGUUCAUGCCGUAAUCAAUUUUACAAGGAAGUCAAGCAGUUAUCCAAACAUGUCUUGUUUAUCAUUCGGACGUCCAGGACUAAUAUCUCGGGUAGCUUUAGAACCUGAACUGAAAAAGAUUAUGUUCCAAGUCUGAAAGAAAGUAAGGAAGAAUUAUGUCAAGCUCGAGGAUCAUGGUGUCACCGAAAUGAUCGGAUUACCUGUUUUAAAUGCUUGUCAGCACAAAACAGUAAUCAACCUGAGGAAAGCGUUGAAAUAAACAUGGUGCCCAAUUUUACAAAAUGUGGUUCGUUCACGACUUGUCGAAAUCAUUUCUUUUAUGUGCCCAGGAACAUAGACUGCAUUUCAGAAGAAAUCUCCACAUCUUGCCGAAUAAAUGGAGAAGUCAACAAUUACACUUGUUCUGAAAAAUCGUAUGGCGCAUUUUUAAUGACAUGCCUCGCCCAGGGGACAAAUCAGCCGAUGUUUACUCAACUAUUUUGGCAUCCAAUUGCGCAUUACGGGAAUACGACAUAUUUGUCAGCGUUGGAUGGAGGUUUGUCGGAUCAUAUCCGGCUGGUUAUUCUGAAAAUCAAGCCGUUGAGUAGUUUAUUUUUGGGGACACAUUAUUCUGGACUUGUUCCAUAUUAAAAGCAUUGUACUCUGACGGAUUAGCGGUUACCCUUUCAAAAAAUGGGAUUGUAUUUGACACUUCCCGUUACAGUAUUUACGAGGGAAUUUCGUCGCGCGAUGGCAAAACUAUAAAAAGUCAGCAAUGGCAAUUUGCAGAGGAUAAAAUGACACUUGAUUUUAUUGGAGAGUUGGACAUAACAUGUUGGGCGCCACACCUUAAUUCGUCACGAUGGGAUAAAAAACCUUAAAAUUUCCUGUUUUUGAUCCGCAACCCCACAUAACCAGUGUGGUUUGGGAUAGAGGAAAUAGUGUUCCAAAUUUCGGCGAAACUGGAAGAUCUCUGACUUGUUAUUUUGUAAUGAGCGGGGUUUGUAAUGAGCGGGGUUUGUAAUGAUCCGGGUUUGUAAUGAGCGGGGUUUGUAAUAAGCGGUUUGUAAGGAGCCGGGUUUGUAAUGAGCGGUUUGAAACGAGGGGUUUGUACUUUCCGCCGACCGUUAUUUUACCGGGGUCGGUACUACGUCGAUAUCUUGGAUUUUUAAUGGUGUCGAACUAGCUUCGCUGGAAAAGAGGCAGAUUUCUAAAAUUGUGUCAAAUUAUGAAAUACGAGCAAACUACCAGAAUUCCUCUACUCAGCUUAUAAUUCAAAAGUUGCCAAGUUCAGGAUAUUUUGCGUGUAACGUAACAUCUGGGAAUUUUACAGCCGUUCAAAACAUACAAUUAGACCAGUUUAAUGAGGAAGUUAAGAAACAUCAAAGUUAUCUUCGCAACCCCAAUUCGCUAUUGGAUGGGUGUGGCUCACAAAGUUUCAACUGCGAUGAAGGAAAAUGCCUCUCCCUCCAAAAACUGUGGCGGAUUGCAUUGACGGGAGCGAUGAAAACCCAAAGUUUUGUUCCCGAUUGAACCGAUGCGGGGAAGGAGAGUUUUACUGUGGAGGAAAUGAACCGAGAUGCAUCCCAGUUACCGAAGUGAAUAAUGGAGUUUCUGAUUGUGAAAGUAGCGUGGAUGAGAAAAUUAACUCAUUUGAAGGAAAAAUGGUGUAUAUUUAUGUUAGCUCGGUUGUGUUGGUCGUGUUAAUUGGGUACCUUUUGUACAAAAGGAUAUCGAGGAGUGUCCUUCUCAGGAGGAGAGCUUCACCACCUGCCCUUCUCAGAUCUCGAUGCCCUUUGGAUAUGUGGUAGGGU
Molecule: long non-coding RNA, 2249 nt
Organism: Folsomia candida
Lineage: Eukaryota; Metazoa; Arthropoda; Collembola; Entomobryomorpha; Isotomidae
Exons: 9
Source: RefSeq, a predicted model, not a curated record